This 203-nucleotide ribosomal RNA is filed under the name Vibrio parahaemolyticus. RNAcentral's name for it is "partial 23S ribosomal RNA". It matches the Rfam family "Bacterial large subunit ribosomal RNA", at positions 2367 to 2569 of the family's 2925-position model. Lineage: Bacteria; Pseudomonadati; Pseudomonadota; Gammaproteobacteria; Vibrionales; Vibrionaceae. The record is from RNAcentral.
GCUUGACUGCGAGAAUGACAAUUCGAGCAGGUGCGAAAGCAGGUCAUAGUGAUCCGGUGGUUCUGAAUGGAAGGGCCAUCGCUCAACGGAUAAAAGGUACUCCGGGGAUAACAGGCUGAUACCGCCCAAGAGUUCAUAUCGACGGCGGUGUUUGGCACCUCGAUGUCGGCUCAUCACAUCCUGGGGCUGAAGUCGGUCCCAAG